This 253-nucleotide ribosomal RNA is filed under the name uncultured bacterium. RNAcentral's name for it is "partial 16S ribosomal RNA". It matches the Rfam family "Bacterial small subunit ribosomal RNA", at positions 524 to 776 of the family's 1533-position model. The record is from RNAcentral.
UACGGGGGGGGCAAGCGUUGUUCGGAAUUACUGGGCGUAAAGGGCUCGUAGGCGGCCAACUAAGUCGGAUGUGAAAUCCCCAGGCUUAACCUGGGAACUGCAUCCGAUACUGGAUGGCUUGAAUCCGGGAGAGGGAUGCGGAAUUCCAGGUGUAGCGGUGAAAUGCGUAGAUAUCUGGAGGAACACCAAUAGCGAAGGCAGCUCGCUGGGACGUUACUGACACUGAGGCGCGAAAGCGUGGGGAGCAAACGGG